Long non-coding RNA from Fukomys damarensis (Damara mole-rat), 330 nucleotides. RefSeq lists it as uncharacterized. The transcript is spliced from 4 exons. The record is from RefSeq and is a predicted model, not a curated record. NCBI's taxonomy places the organism in Eukaryota, Metazoa, Chordata, Mammalia, Rodentia, Bathyergidae.
CAGGAGGCAGCAACACUGAGCUAAAUCCCCAGCCUGCAUUGUGACAAGACCACCACCAUGCUCAGAAGGGCAUCAGCAAUUGCACAGGAGGAAACCUAGCGAUGCGCCAGCUCAUCAGAGGUCAUGUCAGGAAUGGGAAAAGAGAAAGAAAUAAGGAGACAUGUUUGGAAGAAGACAGACUGAAUGUGGCAGGGCCCUCAGUUGGAACAACUCCCGUUCUUUUCGUCCACCCACACCAGUUUCUGGCAAAUGGGAAGGCCACCUACAGCUCUGUACAUUGGAAAUGUUCAUUACCAAGAAAAAUGGGUCAAUCAAAUAAAGACAAUGUGG